Molecule: non-coding RNA, 82 nt
Organism: Serendipita sp. 401
Lineage: Eukaryota; Fungi; Basidiomycota; Agaricomycetes; Sebacinales; Serendipitaceae
Source: the annotation of a GenBank genome assembly
GCGUCUGUGGUUCAACGGUAGAAUUGGUCGUUGCCACGAAAGCAUUCUCGACUAGACCGGGGUUCGACUCCCCGCGGACGCA